GGUAUUGAUUGGUGCUUGCAUCAUGAUUUACAUUUGAGUUGAGUGGCGAACUGGUGAGUAACACGUGGGAAACCUGCCCAGAAGCGGGGGAUAACACCUGGAAACAGAUGCUAAUACCGCAUAACAACUUGGACCGCAUGGUCCGAGUUUGAAAGAUGGCUUCGGCUAUCACUUUUGGAUGGUCCCGCGGCGUAUUAGCUAGAUGGUGAGGUAACGGCUCACCAUGGCAAUGAUACGUAGCCGACCUGAGAGGGUAAUCGGCCACAUUGGGACUGAGACACGGCCCAAACUCCUACGGGAGGCAGCAGUAGGGAAUCUUCCACAAUGGACGAAAGUCUGAUGGAGCAACGCCGCGUGAGUGAAGAAGGGUUUCGGCUCGUAAAACUCUGUUGUUAAAGAAGAACAUAUCUGAGAGUAACUGUUCAGGUAUUGACGGUAUUUAACCAGAAAGCCACGGCUAACUACGUGCCAGCAGCCGCGGUAAUACGUAGGUGGCAAGCGUUGUCCGGAUUUAUUGGGCGUAAAGCGAGCGCAGGCGGUUUUUUAAGUCUGAUGUGAAAGCCUUCGGCUCAACCGAAGAAGUGCAUCGGAAACUGGGAAACUUGAGUGCAGAAGAGGACAGUGGAACUCCAUGUGUAGCGGUGAAAUGCGUAGAUAUAUGGAAGAACACCAGUGGCGAAGGCGGCUGUCUGGUCUGUAACUGACGCUGAGGCUCGAAAGUAUGGGUAGCAAACAGGAUUAGAUACCCUGGUAGUCCAUACCGUAAACGAUGAAUGCUAAGUGUUGGAGGGUUUCCGCCCUUCAGUGCUGCAGCUAACGCAUUAAGCAUUCCGCCUGGGGAGUACGGCCGCAAGGCUGAAACUCAAAGGAAUUGACGGGGGCCCGCACAAGCGGUGGAGCAUGUGGUUUAAUUCGAAGCUACGCGAAGAACCUUACCAGGUCUUGACAUACUAUGCAAAUCUAAGAGAUUAGACGUUCCCUUCGGGGACAUGGAUACAGGUGGUGCAUGGUUGUCGUCAGCUCGUGUCGUGAGAUGUUGGGUUAAGUCCCGCAACGAGCGCAACCCUUAUUAUCAGUUGCCAGCAUUAAGUUGGGCACUCUGGUGAGACUGCCGGUGACAAACCGGAGGAAGGUGGGGAUGACGUCAAAUCAUCAUGCCCCUUAUGACCUGGGCUACACACGUGCUACAAUGGAUGGUACAACGAGUUGCGAACUCGCGAGAGUAAGCUAAUCUCUUAAAGCCAUUCUCAGUUCGGAUUGUAGGCUGCAACUCGCCUACAUGAAGUCGGAAUCGCUAGUAAUCGCGGAUCAGCAUGCCGCGGUGAAUACGUUCCCGGGCCUUGUACACACCGCCCGUCACACCAUGAGAGUUUGUAA
This 1377-nucleotide ribosomal RNA is filed under the name Lactiplantibacillus plantarum. Its description in RNAcentral is "bacterial SSU rRNA". It matches the Rfam family "Bacterial small subunit ribosomal RNA", at positions 68 to 1417 of the family's 1533-position model. The record is from RNAcentral. Lineage: Bacteria; Bacillati; Bacillota; Bacilli; Lactobacillales; Lactobacillaceae.